GUGCCAGCAGCCGCGGUAAUACAGAGGCCUCGAGCGUUAAUCGGAAUCACUGGGCUUAAAGGGUGCGUAGGCGGAUCUUCAAGUGCCUUGUGAAAUCCCAUGGCUCAACCAUGGAAUUGCUCGGUAGACUGGGGAUCUUGAGGUAGGUAGGGGUCACUGGAACUCUAGGUGGAGCGGUGAAAUGCGUAGAUAUCUAGAGGAACGCCGAUGGUGAAGACAGGUGACUGGGCCUAUUCUGACGCUGAUGCACGAAAGCGUGGGGAGCAAACGGGAUUAGAUACCCCUGUAGUCC
This 292-nucleotide ribosomal RNA is filed under the name uncultured bacterium. RNAcentral describes it as "partial 16S ribosomal RNA". It matches the Rfam family "Bacterial small subunit ribosomal RNA", at positions 505 to 796 of the family's 1533-position model. The record is from RNAcentral.